RNAcentral lists this ribosomal RNA (406 nucleotides) under uncultured bacterium. RNAcentral describes it as "partial 16S ribosomal RNA". It matches the Rfam family "Bacterial small subunit ribosomal RNA", at positions 30 to 526 of the family's 1533-position model. The record is from RNAcentral.
AUUGAACGCUGGCGGCAGGCCUAACACAUGCAAGUCGAGCGAGCGGCGGACGGGUGAGUAAUGUCUGGGAAACUGCCUGAUGGAGGGGGAUAACUAAUCGAAAGAUUAGCUAAUACCGCAUAUUAUUCGAGCGGCCGAUAUCUGAUUAGGUAGUUGGUGAGGUAAAGGCUCACCAAGCCGACGAUCUCUAGCUGGUCUGAGAGGAUGACCAGCCACACUGGGACUGAGACACGGCCCAGACUCCUACGGGAGGCAGCAGUGGGGAAUAUUGCGCAAUGGGGGCAACCCUGACGCAGCCAUGCCGCGUGAAUGAAGAAGGCCUGCGGGUUGUAAAGUUCUUUCGGUAGCGAGGCGUUAACUACAGAAGAAGCACCGGCUAACUCCGUGCCAGCAGCCGCGGUAAUAC